This 474-nucleotide ribosomal RNA is filed under the name uncultured organism. RNAcentral's name for it is "partial 16S ribosomal RNA". It matches the Rfam family "Bacterial small subunit ribosomal RNA", at positions 334 to 799 of the family's 1533-position model. The record is from RNAcentral.
CACUCCUGCGGGAGGCAGCAGUGGGGAAUUUUGAACCAUGGGCGAAAGCCUGAUCCAGCAAUGCCGCGUGAGUGAAGAAGGCCUUCGGGUUGUAAAGCUCUUUUGUCAGGGAAGAAACGGUGAGAGCUAAUAUCUUUUGCUAAUGACGGUACCUGAAGAAUAAGCACCGGCUAACUACGUGCCAGCAGCCGCGGUAAUACGUAGGGUGCAAGCGUUAAUCGGAAUUACUGGGCGUAAAGCGUGCGCAGGCGGUUUUGUAAGUCUGAUGUGAAAUCCCCGGGCUCAACCUGGGAAUUGCAUUGGAGACUGCAAGGCUAGAAUCUGGCAGAGGGGGGUAGAAUUCCACGUGUAGCAGUGAAAUGCGUAGAUAUGUGGAGGAACACCGAUGGCGAAGGCAGCCCCCUGGGUCAAGAUUGACGCUCAUGCACGAAAGCGUGGGGAGCAAACAGGAUUAGAAACCCUAGUAGUCCCAUG